GACGAACGCUGGCGGCGUGCCUAAUACAUGCAAGUCGAACGAAGCUGUUUUAACUGGUGCUUGCACCGACUUAAACAACUGAGUGGCGAACGGGUGAGUAACACGUGGGUAACCUGCCCCAAAGCGGGGGAUAACAUUUGGAAACAGAUGCUAAUACCGCAUAACCACAGAAACCACAUGGUUUCUGUGUCAAAGAUGGUUUCGGCUAUCACUUUGGGAUGGACCCGCGGCGUAUUAGUUAGUUGGUAAGGUAAUGGCUUACCAAGGCAAUGAUACGUAGCCGAACUGAGAGGUUGAUCGGCCACAUUGGGACUGAGACACGGCCCAAACUCCUACGGGAGGCAGCAGUAGGGAAUCUUCCACAAUGGACGAAAGUCUGAUGGAGCAACGCCGCGUGAGUGAAGAAGGUUUUCGGAUCGUAAAACUCUGUUGUCAGGGAAGAACGUGUGCGAGAGUAACUGCUCGUGCAGUGACGGUAUCUGGCCAGAAAGCCACGGCUAACUACGUGCCAGCCGCCGCAGUAA
This 524-nucleotide ribosomal RNA is filed under the name uncultured bacterium. RNAcentral's name for it is "partial 16S ribosomal RNA". It matches the Rfam family "Bacterial small subunit ribosomal RNA", at positions 28 to 523 of the family's 1533-position model. The record is from RNAcentral.